RNAcentral lists this ribosomal RNA (498 nucleotides) under uncultured bacterium. RNAcentral describes it as "partial 16S ribosomal RNA". It matches the Rfam family "Bacterial small subunit ribosomal RNA", at positions 29 to 523 of the family's 1533-position model. The record is from RNAcentral.
AUUGAACGCUGGCGGCAUGCCUUACACAUGCAAGUCGGUCGGUAACGCGGGGCAACCUGGCGACGAGUGGCGAACGGGUGAGUAAUGCAUCGGAACGUGCCUGGUAGUGGGGGAUAACUGCUCGAAAGAGCAGCUAAUACCGCAUACGACCUGAGGGUGAAAGGGGGGGAUCGCAAGACCUCUCGCUAUCAGAGCGGCCGAUGUCGGAUUAGCUAGUUGGUGGGGUAAAGGCCUACCAAGGCGACGAUCCGUAGCGGGUCUGAGAGGAUGAUCCGCCACACUGGAACUGAGACAAGGUCCAGACUCCUACGGGAGGCAGCAGUGGGGAAUUUUGGACAAUGGGGGCAACCCUGAUCCAGCCAUGCCGCGUGAGUGAAGAAGGCCUUCGGGUUGUAAAGCUCUUUCGGCCGGGAAGAAAUCGCAUGGGCUAAUACCCUGUGUGGAUGACGGUACCGGAAUAAGAAGCACCGGCUAACUACGUGCCAGCCGCCGCCGUAA